This 497-nucleotide ribosomal RNA is filed under the name uncultured bacterium. RNAcentral's name for it is "partial 16S ribosomal RNA". It matches the Rfam family "Bacterial small subunit ribosomal RNA", at positions 28 to 507 of the family's 1533-position model. The record is from RNAcentral.
GAUGAACGCUGGCGGCGUGCCUAAUACAUGCAAGUCGAGCGAACGGACGAGAAGCUUGCUUCUCUGAUGUUAGCGGCGGACGGGUGAGUAACACGUGGAUAACCUACCUAUAAGACUGGGAUAACUUCGGGAAACCGGAGCUAAUACCGGAUAAUAUUUUGAACCGCAUGGUUCAAAAGUGAAAGACGGUCUUGCUGUCACUUAUAGAUGGAUCCGCGCUGCAUUAGCUAGUUGGUAAGGUAACGGCUUACCAAGGCAACGAUGCAUAGCCGACCUGAGAGGGGGAUCGGCCAAACGGGAACUGAGACACGGUCCAGACUCCUACGGGAGGCAGCAGUAGGGAAUCUUCCGCAAUGGGCGAAAGCCUGACGGAGCAACGCCGCGUGAGUGAUGAAGGUCUUCGGAUCGUAAAACUCUGUUAUUAGGGAAGAACAUAUGUGUAAGUAACUGUGCACAUCUUGACGGUACCUAAUCAGAAAGCCACGGCUAACUACGUG